UACAGAGGGGGCAAGCGUUGUUCGGAAUUACUGGGCGUAAAGCGCAAGCAGGCGGCUCAUUAAGUUUGACGUGAAAUCUCCCGGCUUAACCGGGAGGGGCCGUUGAAAACUGAUAAGCUUGAGGCGAUGAGAGGGGUGUGGAAUUCCCGGUGUAGUGGUGAAAUGCGUAGAUAUCAGGAGGAACACCGGUGGCGAAGGCGGGAUCCUGGGCCAGUACUGACGCUGAGGAGCGAAAGCGUGGGGAGCAAACAGG
RNAcentral lists this ribosomal RNA (253 nucleotides) under uncultured bacterium. RNAcentral describes it as "partial 16S ribosomal RNA". It matches the Rfam family "Bacterial small subunit ribosomal RNA", at positions 524 to 776 of the family's 1533-position model. The record is from RNAcentral.